This 229-nucleotide ribosomal RNA is filed under the name Fuligo septica var. flava. RNAcentral's name for it is "partial small subunit ribosomal RNA". It matches the Rfam family "Bacterial small subunit ribosomal RNA", at positions 663 to 866 of the family's 1533-position model. Lineage: Eukaryota; Evosea; Eumycetozoa; Physariida; Physaraceae. The record is from RNAcentral.
GGUGAUCUGAGGAGGGUAAAUCCGUUGAUAUAGGAAGACUUUCGAUGGCGAAGGCAUUUACCGAUUUGGUUCUGACGCUAGGGUACUAAAGCUUGGGUAGAAAGAGGAUUAGAGACCUCGCUAGUCCAUGCCUUAAACAAUGAGUGUUCAACGUCUUAUAAUACUCUGGACCACCUUGCAGUGGUAUCCUUCGAGGAUUAUUGGGGGUUUGAAGCUAACGCGCGAAACA